This 85-nucleotide transfer RNA is filed under the name Candidatus Malacoplasma girerdii. Its description in RNAcentral is "tRNA-Tyr (GTA) (tRNA-Tyr-GTA-1-1)". It matches the Rfam family "tRNA". From Rfam's summary of the family: Transfer RNA (tRNA) molecules are approximately 80 nucleotides in length. Lineage: Bacteria; Bacillati; Mycoplasmatota; Mycoplasmoidales; Mycoplasmoidaceae. RNAcentral also lists the same sequence under 1 other name. The record is from RNAcentral.
GGACAGAUAGCGAAGCGGCCAAACGCAGCUGACUGUAAAUCAGCCACCCACGGUUUCAGUGGUUCGAAUCCACUUCUGUCCACCA